This is a long non-coding RNA of Carassius auratus (goldfish), 628 nucleotides long. RefSeq lists it as uncharacterized. The transcript is spliced from 3 exons. NCBI's taxonomy places the organism in Eukaryota, Metazoa, Chordata, Actinopteri, Cypriniformes, Cyprinidae. The record is from RefSeq and is a predicted model, not a curated record.
CAGUCUCUCCUGACAGCUAGCUCCACUUAGCUUGUUCUCAGCUUGUAACGCGCCAUGUCCAAUUAGCUCUCAGGGUGCUUCGUCUUCAUCCCUGAAGUCUGAAGAAAGCAGUAGGCUGCUCACAUCCACCAUGAUGGAGAAGGCCUUGAUUGGAUGACAAGAUGUCCUGCAGCCACAGUCCAGACUGAGUCAGCUAAUCGUCAACUUUGUGUUCACCGGUAGAAGUGAAAGUCUGUGGCCUGGACAGGAAGUCUCAAACUGGGCCCUCAGCGCCAGGCCGGGAGUUAAGGUGAACUUCUGUCUAAGAAGAACAUGCCAAAAUCCGUGAAAUUCUCCUUCUCUCAAGUACAACCAGGCAAUAAAAGAGGUGCGGAGUAAUUGGUGGAUUUAUCCUUGAGGAAGUGAUAUGUCUGAAGCGAGAGAGAGAGACGGUUUGAAGGAAAUAAGGCUGACGAAACUUGGUGAUCAAAGACGGCCUGAUAUGUGAGAUGAGUAGAUCGAGUCGCUGGAAAGAGUCCAUGUGAAAUUUUGGAUGUGGAGAAAUCUCAUUUUCUGAAAUAAUUUCGCAAAACCUUAUCUGUCUUUGAUGUGCAAUCGGCAGAUUGGACAAAAUAAAGAUUGAUAUCCU